This 672-nucleotide long non-coding RNA is filed under the name Rattus norvegicus (Norway rat). RNAcentral's name for it is "long non-coding RNA NONRATT017034". The record is from RNAcentral. Lineage: Eukaryota; Metazoa; Chordata; Mammalia; Rodentia; Muridae.
GGGGUGUUUUUUUUUUUUUUCACCCUACCAGCGUAGAAUGUGCAAGUUAGCAUCUUUAGCUUCCUUUUUACUAAUUUUAUUAUUUUUUGCCUUAUCUGCUGAUAAAGUCUCCUUCCUGUAGGCUUCCCCAUUUAGGGGAUAGUUUGUACUCAGCAGCAUCUCUCACUACCAAGGGUGGGGACAUUCCACUUCCCAGCCACUUUCCCAAACAUGCUACGUCCAGGGACUACAAACUCACUGGAUUGGACAAUGGACAGUCUUACUAUUCCCUCAGCAGCGGGUCCUCCAUUCUAUGAGUGAAAAGACUGCACUGAGCAAACAAACGAGCCUACAGUGUGCACUAAUUCUCUCUGCCUCUGACUGUGGCAUGGCUGGCUGUGCCUCUGACUGUGGCAUGGCUGGCUGUGCCUCUGACUGUGGCAUGGCUGGCUGUGCCUCUGACUGUGGCAUGGAUGGCUGUGCCUCUGACUGUGGCAUGGAUGGCUGUGCCUCUGACUGUGGCAUGGAUGGCUGUGCCUCUGAUUGUGGCAUAGCUGGCUGUGCCUCUGACUGUGGCAUGGCUGGCUGUGUUUCUGACUGUGGCAUGGCUGGCUGUUCUAAAUCCCUGCUUCCUUGGCUUCCUGAUAACUGUAACCUGGAAUUAUAAACUGAAUAAAGUCCUCCCUCCCUCCC